AGGGCGUUUCUGGGAAAGGAGGCAGAGGGGGGAGACGCGGGCCGGAAAGUGGCGUGUGGCUGGGGAGCCUAGGGCCCCCGGCGGGGAGGGCAGGAGUGCUGACUGGGAGCUUCCGGCGCGUCUGGCGUCUGCCUUGCCCUGGAAGCGGCCUGAAGUGGGACGGAAGUGAGAGCCGGCGCAGUGCAACAGGGUGCCGCUGGCUGGCUGUAGGGCGGGGGCGUGCCACGCUAGGCCUCGUUCCCCGCCGUCCCGCGAAACCUCGCGAGCACAACAUACUCAGUGUUACCUGAUUUCUGUAUGUUGUCGUCUCGUGUACGCCUCAUUCCCAGAACAGUCCGGCUUGUUCAUUCCCUCAUCUACAAUUCUUGCCAUUCCUCCAUGGAUUUAAAGGCGCUCCUUUGCUCCUUGAAUGACUUUGCAUCCCUCUCCCUUGCUGAGAGUUGGGACAAUGUUGGCUUACUGGUGGAACCAAGCCCACCACACACUGUAAACACACUCUUCCUUACCAACGACUUGACUGAGGAAGUGAUGGAGGAGGCGCUGCAAAAAAAGGCGGACCUCAUUCUCUCCUACCAUCCACCUAUUUUUCGACCCUUAAAACACAUAACCUGGAAAACCUGGAAGGAGCGCCUGGUGAUCCGGGCUCUGGAAAACAGAGUUGGUAUUUACUCUCCUCACACCGCCUAUGAUGCUGCACCCCAAGGAGUCAACAGCUGGUUGGCAAAAGGGCUUGGAGUUUGCACCUCCAGGCCCAUACAUCCUUCCAGAGCUCCCAACUACCCUACAACGGGAACACACAGAGUAGAAUUCAGUGUUAAUGGUACCGAAGACCUGGACAAAGUUAUUUCUGCAGUGAAACGAAUUGCAGAUGUUUCUGUCACUUCUUUUUCUACUAGGACUGAUAAUGAAGAACAAACAAGGAUUAGUCUGAAUUGUAGUCAGGAGGCUUUGAUACAGGUGGUGGCAUUUCUUUCCCAGAGCAAACAAUUCUAUCAGAAGACUGAAAUUCUGUCACUGGAGAAGCCUCUGCUUCUACACACUGGAAUGGGACGGUUGUGCACACUGGAUGAAUCUGUUUCCUUGGCAACCAUGAUUGAUCGAAUCAAAAGGCACCUUAAACUAUCUCAUGUUCGCCUUGCUCUUGGGGUAGGAAGGACCUUAGAGUCUCCAGUCAAAGUCGUGGCCCUGUGUGCUGGUUCUGGGAGUACGGUGCUACAAGGGGCAGAGGCCGACCUUUACCUCACAGUUUUAGGAGCCACAGUCUGAUAACGCAGGCCCUCUGAUGGCUCAGGACUAAGCUGCAAGAGUCUCCUCGCUUCCUAGAAUGUAGGAAAAUACAGUGCUACGGCUCCACAUUUGAAUUAGAAGAAAUAGACUUCUAAACCUGGCUGUGUCAUGAAGGUGAUGGCACAGAUGUUAGCUGUUCCAGGGAUCAUGAUUAUUGUUCAUGUGCUUUCUAAGAACUCAGAUGGCAUACUGCCUAAAUGGAUCCUUAUGACCCAUCAUGGAACUUGCAUUUUAUCACUGAAGUUGAGUCAGAGGCAUACUUGUCCUUAAGUAAACAGGAGAUAAAGUAUUCUUAGCAUAUAAUGCUGUAAUAGCAAAAGUCUCACCUUUUUUGUUCUUAUAAGUUUGUGGUCCCUAAAUUCAGUUAACUGGGCCCGAAGUGUCAGAUCACUAUUGACCAGGAAUGCCUCUCGACACUGUUGGUAAAAGUCUUGAAAAGAAAGUCCUAGAGAGUUCAGAAGGAGAUAUGAACAUAAGUCAUCAUUUAAGACAUGACCCCAUAUAAGGAUACCCAUACCAGAGAACACAAAGUGCUGUUGCCAUCGUAUGUCAAAGCAGUAAGUAUUGAUAAAGCAUCAUGAGAAGAGUAUAUACCACAUAUCACUAGCCCAAGAGAAGAUUAAAAAUUCGAAGUAUGGUUUCUAGUGAAUGGAUGAAUACUGCUUUUGCACCAUCAUAAAGUCAAAAAAAUGGUAAGUCAAUCCAUUUUAAGGGGACCGUUGAUCUGUACAUGAAUAAGUAGAAGUGUAUGCUUAGCUUCGCCCUAUAACUAGAGCAUCUAUAUCAUGUUACCUUCUUUAAAUUUGUUUACUAUCCAGUCUAGCUGGUCCAGUACACUGCGGAAAGUACCCAUAUGAUUGAGGACUUCUUCUGUUAUAGAAUUCAGGAUCUGUAUCAUAAAAGUGCAAGAGGUACAUCAAUUACUACUUAUUCUGUCAUAUAGGAUAAAUACAACUACAAUCAGUCCUUUUUUAUAAGUUAAAAAUGCAUUUAGAUUUCCCAUCAAGUCUGAAAAACCACUUAAAAAAUUCUACUGGUAAAAAAAAAAUUCUACUGGUACUUAAGUAUACCUAAUUCAUUUUUUUGGCAUAAAGUUAUAUCUAAAAUGAAACACGAAAGAACGGCAAAGAUGUAUAGAUAGGAGGGUAGCAAAAAUAUCCCUCCCCGAUUAUGGAAAACAUUAGAAAACCAUAGAUCUACCAAUGAAAAUAGGAUACAAACAUUAAAGACACUGCAUUGUUUAAUAGCCAGCACCAAAAGGUUUAGUUUUCAAAUGAUGAAACAUGAGUAUUUGCACUGAAAAUGAUCUAUAAUAAAUGUAUUCUAAAACUACAAACUAUUAACUUACUACUUUUAGAGUACCAAAGUGUCACUGAGCAUAAUAAAAGUAAAAUCUUCCAUAAUCCUGUCCUUCAGAGAAGUACUGUUGGUAUUUGGUAUAGUAAACAAAACUAACAUUUCUCUAAGAUUUAAUAUAUUUAUCAGUUACAAAGUAGGAAAUUCAGAUGAGGACUCAAAGCUAGAACCCUGAGUUCAAACACGAUCUUAAGUAAUAUGUAAUCCUACCAGUGUAAAGGCUAAAAAAACCUGAAUGUUCCAGAAUGAGAAGUAGCAUCCUCAUUAAUGUAGGGGUAUGGAUUGGCAGGAGAUAUAAUGUUGCUUCUUUUAACAUUUUUGAAACUUACUGAUUUCACACUUAUUCCAGGAAAGAAGCCAUUGAUGACAACAUGAAUGGAAUCUUGCAGCACAGUGGUUCGAAACCUUUCUAGUAAAUCUCUCUUAGAACCCAAACCAUAAAGCACAAUGUUGAACCCCAGGCUGUUAGGAAAGAUAGCAUUCAUGAAAUUAAAGUUCGGCACCUCCUAAUUUAUUAUAAUCAACUAGUUUCUUUAAGUUGAUAAAGAAUAUGGAAAGGACUAGGAUGACUAAGUAAUUACAUUGAUUUCCAGCUCAUACACUGUAGAAGCACAGUUUUAUUAUCUGUACACCAGACUUCAGUAGCUUUCUCUCCAGCUCUUUAUUACCUUUCAAAUAAUGGCUGGCUGGAGGGAAAGGAGAACAGCGGGGACAAGGCACUAGCGAUUCCACAGGCUCAGGCAGAUUUAUUUGAGAUUAAAUAGGAAAGGUAAGCAGAGGCCAGGUCACAAAGGUUUUGUUAAGGCAACCAAGACAUUGAUUAGAUUUUAUUUCAAGGACAAUGACCAUUUAAAACUAACUACUCAGGUGUUAAUUGAAAGGUUUUAAGUAGGAAAGUAGCAUGAUAUUUUCAGAAAGAUCAUCCUGGCUAAACAGAGGGAACAGACAGGAGAGAGAAGUACCAAUGACUACGGCCCUGAAUUAGGUGUUGUGUAGAAAAACAAGUUGUCAAGAGCUUUACAUGUCAGAUCAAUUUGGAGAGUGGUUAGAUGUGGAAGGUGAUGGAAAGGGAAUAUUUCAGAAUACCUCAUUUUUUUGGUAUAGGCGACAACACAAAUGGGACAUCCAUUGUGCCAGGUUGCAGGGGGCAGGUGGGAAUGAUGGGUUUAAGAGGAGUUAAAUUUUAUGUAUAUUGAAUUAUUUACAGGACAUCCACAUGGAAACCUCAAAUAUACACUGAGAUAUCUGUAUCUGCUGCUGAGGAGUGAUAUCUGGGGUGGGCCAGAGAUACAAUGGGUGUUACUCACAUGCAAAAAGCAACCAAAGCUAAGCGAUUAAGAAGAUCCAGAACACCAAAGCACUAAGGCUAAAGCUAAAGCUCGAUUCCAUGAUUGUUUAUAGAGGUCAAUCAGAAAUAGUAUUUACGUGAUGCUCAGAGGUGCCUAGAAAUCAAAGCAAUAACCCCCACGUAGCACAUUCUGCUGCAAGGUGGCAGCAGCAGAAAAAAAGGGAAUUCAGAGAGUUGGCAAUUUCUAUUGAAGUGCUGACUAAAGUCUAGGCUGGGAAGCAAAGCCCAACAAAUUAGCAGGGUUGACAGAUGGAGGAACUGGACUAUAGAGGAUAGGAUCAGAGUGAAGAGCUACUUUGCCAAUUUAUAAUGAACAGAUCUAACUAUAAAUAGUUAUUGAGAGAAGCUGAGCUCCUAGCAGGGAAGAUAAGCAUAACCCCUUUGAUGUAUUAUUGGCAAAGCAAAACCAGUAUCAAUGGGGAAAAUUGUGUCAAUUUGUUUUUACUGCUUGGCAGACCUGCCUUCUUAUUUAUCAGUGACUGAGUACACAUUCACGAUAGUAUAGUUUUUAAGCACUAAGAUCCUUUUUAAUAAAAAUAUAAAAGUAAUUAAAGUAAAAAUAAAAAGUUAUUCUUUUAGUUAUUUUAAUGCAAAUUUGAAUUUUAAUCUGUUAUCUGAAAAACAGUAAAAUUGAAAAUAUAAUCUAAGAAAUAAUUUUAAAAUGGUAAAAUAAUGUUUAUCAGACAGACAUCACAAAAUUUUGAAGAUCUGUAGUACAUGAAAAUAGAAUGAGAUUAAAAUAAAUAUAUAUAUUCUUUUUAGGAACUUUGCUGCGGAAAACUGGACUCAAAUAUAAUUGAUAUAUCUUGUCAAUCUUGACAAAUCAGAUUUCAAAAUACUUUAAUAAGUAAUAACUUGGAAUUCUAAGAUGGGCUAUUUAUUUUACCAAUGGCUUUCACAUCUGAUAAAUAUAGCCACAUUUCUUGAAAACUAAAAUUUCUGAGAUGAAUCAUACAAUAUGACAUUUUUACAUGUGAGUCAUAUAAUUAGGAUUUUUUUUUCAAAUUUUUAUAUAUGAAAAAUAUAUCUGGUUGAUUGCAAAAAGAAAAUU
Canis lupus familiaris (dog) is the source of this 5042-nucleotide RNA transcript. It is a transcript of the gene named NGG1 interacting factor 3 like 1, with no coding region annotated. NCBI's taxonomy places the organism in Eukaryota, Metazoa, Chordata, Mammalia, Carnivora, Canidae. The record is from RefSeq and is a predicted model, not a curated record. The transcript has 10 exons.